This 292-nucleotide ribosomal RNA is filed under the name uncultured bacterium. RNAcentral describes it as "partial 16S ribosomal RNA". It matches the Rfam family "Bacterial small subunit ribosomal RNA", at positions 505 to 796 of the family's 1533-position model. The record is from RNAcentral.
GUGCCAGCAGCCGCGGUAAUACGGAGGUGGCAGGCGUUACUCGGAUUGAUUGGGUGUAAAGGGUGUGUAGGCGGUGCGCUAAGUCGAAUGUGAAAUCCCUUGGCUUAACCAAGGAACUGCACUCGAUACUGGCGUGCUUGAGUGAUGGAGAGGAAAGUGGAAUUCCCGGUGUAACAGUGAAAUGUGUAGAUAUCGGGAGGAACACCAGUGGCGAAGGCGACUUUCUGGACAUCUACUGACGCUGAAACACGAGAGCAUGGGGAGCAAACAGGAUUAGAUACCCCCGUAGUCC